RNAcentral lists this ribosomal RNA (210 nucleotides) under uncultured Acidovorax sp. RNAcentral describes it as "partial 16S ribosomal RNA". It matches the Rfam family "Bacterial small subunit ribosomal RNA", at positions 1174 to 1382 of the family's 1533-position model. Lineage: Bacteria; Pseudomonadati; Pseudomonadota; Betaproteobacteria; Burkholderiales; Comamonadaceae. The record is from RNAcentral.
UGGGGAUGACGUCAAGUCCUCAUCGGCCCUUAUAGUGGGGCUACACACGUCAUACAAUGGAUGGUACAAAGGGUCGCCAACCCGCGAGGGGGAGCCAAUCCCAUAAAGCCAUUCGUAGUCCGGAUCGCAGUCUGCAACUCGACUGCGUGAAGUCGGAAUCGCUAGUAAUCGUGGAUCAGAAUGUCACGGUGAAUACGUUCCCGGGUCCUU